AGCAGCCGCGGUAAUUCCAGCUCCAAUAGCGUAUAUUAAAGUUGUUGCAGUUAAAAAGCUCGUAGUUGAAUUUCGGGACCAGUAUGUUGGUCGUGCUUCGGUACGUACUGUCAUUACUGGUUUCUCCCUUCUGAAGAACCUUGAUGUCAUUAAUUUGGUGUCUUGGGGAAUCAGGACUGUUACUUUGAAAAAAUUAGAGUGUUUAAAGCAGGCAUACGCUUGAAUACAUUAGCAUGGAAUAAUGAAAUAGGACGUUUGAUUCUAUUUUGUUGGUUUCUAGGAUCGACGUAAUGAUUAAUAGGGAUAGUUGGGGGCAUUAGUAUUCAAUUGUCAGAGGUGAAAUUCUUGGAUUUAUUGAAGACUAACUACUGCGAAAGCAUUUGCCAAGGAUGUUUUCAUUAAUCAAGAACGAAAGUUAGGGGAUCGAAGACGAUCAGAUACCGUCGUAGUCUUAACCAUAAACUAUGCCGACUAGGGAUCGGAUGAUGUUAUUU
RNAcentral lists this ribosomal RNA (494 nucleotides) under uncultured Glomus. RNAcentral's name for it is "SSU rRNA". It matches the Rfam family "Eukaryotic small subunit ribosomal RNA", at positions 569 to 1068 of the family's 1831-position model. Lineage: Eukaryota; Fungi; Glomeromycota; Glomeromycetes; Glomerales; Glomeraceae. The record is from RNAcentral.